This is a long non-coding RNA of Suricata suricatta (meerkat), 545 nucleotides long. RefSeq lists it as uncharacterized. NCBI's taxonomy places the organism in Eukaryota, Metazoa, Chordata, Mammalia, Carnivora, Herpestidae. The transcript is spliced from 3 exons. The record is from RefSeq and is a predicted model, not a curated record.
AGCCACCCAAGGUGCUCAAAGUAUCACUGUGUUUCCUUUAAAAAUUUAAACUACCCCACAAUGACCCUGAAAGUUCACUGUGGUAUGCUGGGGCACUUUGGAUAGUCAGUUUGAGAACCAUGGGCAAGUAUCAACUACAGAGCAAGGAAAUCUGAGCUGAAUUUGCAGUUGCAAAUACCCUAGUUGUUCACUAACUGCUGAGUUGAGAGAUUUCCACCACAGAAAAGGCAUGGUUCCCAGACACACUUAGCAGAGCUACCAUCUUUUGGUGCUGUGUAAACCAUGGCGCCUGUUCCGGCCUCUCCUGAUUGCGAGAUGAAUGAAAUCUGAGGCUGUGAUUUCACAUUAUGGAGUGUCCACAUUAGACCCAACAUCACCUUAGUGUAUCUCAUUUUCCUGAACACUCUUCCUCAGUGAAGCCCUUCCUUUCCUUCACAGCCUUCUGAUUGUGCUUACUGCAUUGCAUUGCACAGUUGACAUAUGUGACUCCCUCCUCAACAUUGGUGAAGGAGCCAAUGAAUAAAUGAAGGUGUGCAAGUGAGUAA